GCCCAAGUAGGCUACAUAAACCACCCAGUUUGAAUGAAAAUUUGAAUGAAAAAACUGCGAGUGGAACAGCGGACAUCUCGGACUUGGGCCCCCCUUCAUCAAACGUCACGUGAUCGCCGCGGAAGUUUUUCUGGGGAUUCUUUACUUGCUGCAAUGUUUUCUAGGCGUGAGAAAAUGUUAUCCGCUCCGCGAAUUGAAAACAACCUUUCUUUGAAACGACCCUACUAGAAAACGUGUCUUUCUUCUCAGAAUAAAGGUUUUGAAUCGGCAUCGGAGGUCUUCGUUUGGCCCCGGGUAGACGUGACGCGCACAAACGCAGGCCGACGGGAGAUGUGGAACUCGGAGGCGUGUGUGCCUGUGCGGGAGUGGCUGUCUGUGCUGCGGUUGGAGCAGUAUGACCAGGCGUUCCAGGAGGCGGGCCUGCUAACAGUCAAGGACUGCUCUGUCCUGACCCCUGACCUUUUGGAGAGGAUGGACAUCACCCUGCCCGGGCACCAGAGACGCAUACUGGCCAGCCUGAACAAAACCCUCCAAACUCCCCCUGACCCACACGCUCCGCCCAGGCAGACACACACUCACCCCCCCCCCGAAAGGGAUCUCCACGCCGUUCCAGGGGAAGAGGGAGACCAUGGAGAGGAAGAGAGACCAGCCUCCAGAAACCAGCCCAGCCCCAAGGCCAGAGAGAGAGUAGUGCCUGCCCCUAGACAAAGGCACGGGAGAGACAAACCGGUUCCCAAAGAGAGACCAGUGUCAAGAACAAGAGAGCAAGAGAGAGAUGGACACCGAGAGAGACAGGUGUGCAGUGCGGAGACGAGUGGAGAGUUGAAGAAGCCUGUCCCUAAGGAGAGGACUAAGUAUCACUCUGUUCAUGUGGACCCCAACUCCCCCACCGCGCACCCUCCCCUCCCAGAGGGCCCCCAGGACCCCCCGCUGCCCCCCAUCCCGCCACGAAGCACCCCUAACUGCCCCCCUCAACGCUUCACCCCGACCCCUACCCCCACGCCCCCCUCACCUCAACUCAGUAGCAUUCCUGCCUCUAUAGCACCCCCAACCCGCACCUUCUCGCAUCCUUCGCCCGACACCCCAUCCCUCCAAACGCGCCCCAACUCUCCGGCCCUGUUCCUUCCCACCCCCCAGCCUAAACAGAGGGGUAAGGGGAGGAGAAAAUCCCCCCCCAUUUCCCCGUCAGCCUCCACCUCCUCCUCGUGCUCCCUCAUCUCCUCGUCCUCCUCCUCCUUCUCCUCUUCCUCUCUGGAGCAGUCUGAGGACAGGGGAGCUCCACCCCUCCCUCCCAAAAGCUCUGCUGCAGGGGCGGGCCCAAAUGGACCACCACCAAUCCCACGCCGGACCCCAGUCCGGCCCAAUGAAAGCACACCUCAAAGCGACUCUCCUGUCAGCGAGACGCCCGCGGGCCCCACGCCGCGCGUUCCGCCCCGCAGCAAGACGCCUUGCGCGGCCGACAGCACGCCACUCCUCGCCCGGGCUGCGACGCCGCCGGACGUCCUGCUGGCUGUGCCAGUGAGAAUUGUCCCCGAGGCCCCCCCCCCUGUGAUCAGGUCAGAAUCAGUUGACAGCUCUGAAUACUAUGAAGAUGUAGAUCCUGGAUACGUACCCCAGUCUGUCAACAUAGUGAGCAGGGAAAUGUUCCUGCCGGUGCCUGGACAAGGGAAGGGGCGGUACAACUCCCUCUGCAGUGACGAUGAGCAACUAGAUGACGACAAUGAGCCGAUCACAAUCAAUCGUAACUCGUGGUUAGACUACGGCAUCAGCACCCUUCAGGGGAGUGUCUACCUGCCCAGCAAUGGACGCCUGGCCCCGCCCCCUCAGGAAGACCCCGCCCACCUCAGUGUCAUCAAGAUGGGUUGGCUAGACAAGAACCCACCGCAGGGGUCUCUCUACUACCAGAGACGCUGGGUGAAACUGGAUGUGGAUCACCUCAGAUACUUUGACAAUGACAAGGAAGUGUACUCCAAGAGGAUCAUCUCCACCUCCGCCAUCACAGGGGUCAGCAACGUGGGCGAGCUCAAGUUUGAGGUGGUCACGCACAACCGCAACUUUCUCUUCAGGGCAGAGACGGAGACGGAGAGGAAGGAAUGGGUGUCAGUGCUGCAGGACUGUGUCCGGGGUCGCCAGACCAGCUCUGGCUUCGCCCCUGCUUCACCUUUGACCCCUGAGCAGCAAGGCUACCUGGAGUUGAAAGGACUGCGCUCCAAACUCUACACGGUGGUGUGUGGCGAGAAGGUCUUCCUCUACAAGAACUUGGAGGACUACCGUCUAGGCGUCGGCAUCAGCUCCAUUGAGAUGAACGUAGGAAACGUCAAAGACACAGACCGUCGCAGCUUUGACCUUACCACACCCUAUCGCAUAUUCAGCUUCAUCGCCGAGUCGGAGCAGCUGAAGGACCAAUGGGUGGAGGCCAUGCGGGACUCCAUUGGAGAGGCGCUGUCCAAUAGCGAGGUGGCUGAGCAGAUCUGGGCCGAGCCUAGCAACGGUUACUGUGCCGACUGCCGAGCCACCAAACCUGAGUGGGCGUCCAUCAACCUGUGUGUGGUGGUGUGUAAACGCUGUGCAGGAGAGCACCGAGGGCUAGGGCCCAGCAUCUCCAAGGUCCGCAGUCUGAAGAUGGACAGGAAGGUGUGGACCGAGGAGCUCAUAAAGGUGUUCCUGUUACUAGGUAACGAGCGUGUCAACGGGUUCUGGGCGGCGAACGUCCCGCCCAGUGAGGCCCUGAGCCCGUCCAGCUGCACCGAGGACCGCCGCCGCUUCAUCGGCAACAAGUACCGCCACGGAAAGUACCGGAAGUACCACCCCCUCUAUGGCAACCAGAGAGAGCUCAACAACGCGCUGUGUAUUAACGUCCAGUGCAGUGAUGUUCUGGAGACCCUGAGUCUGUUGUUCUGUGGGGCCGAUGUGAACUGCUCCUCAGACCAGGCUGACUGGCCCUCGCCCCUCACCCUCGCCCAGGCCCACGCCCCCUCACCCCUCGCCCUCGCCCAGGCCCACGCCCAGACACUGCAAUCUGAGUUCCUCAGCCACAACCAAAACACAGAGCUGCCUCGGUUGGAGGUGGGUGGGCUGAUGGAGGCGGUUCAUUACUCCGCCCCCUCCUCCGUCUCCUACAAUGGCUUCCUGUUCAAGACCGGCUCUAUGGCUCGGCCAAUCACGGAGCGCAAGACCAAGGAAGAGUUCAGCCGUCGCUGGUGCACACUGAACGAUGGCUGCUUCAGCUACUACGAGAGUGACAAGAACUCCACCCCCAACGGCAUGCUGAAGUCCGCGGAGAUCGUCUGUCUCGCCGUCAACACGCCUGACAAACACGGGUACGAGCACACGUUUGAGCUCUACUCGGACUCUGAGCGUUUGUAUCUGUUUGGUACAGACGACCCAGAGAGCCACAGGGAGUGGGUCAAGUCCAUCACCAAGACAUUGAUCCCAGCCAGUGCAGAGCCCUUGCUGAGGCUGGGCUUUGAGCGGAUUGGUAGGCUGCGGUAUAAGGACGGGCUGAACCUGCAGAGCCCUCGGGUCGGCUGGUUUGCGCUGGUCGGCUCGUCGCUCCACGCGUACCUGGAGGACGGCGAGGGAGAGGAGAUCCACCUCCGGAAGCUGCAGGAGCUGUCCAUCCAGCAGGAGAAUGAGGUGCUGGUGCUGGUGGAGCGAGGGAGGACCCUGUACAUGGAGGGGGAGAGGAAGCUGGACUUUGUGGGCUGGUGCGGGGCCAUCCAGAGAGCAGCAGGCAGCAGUGGAGACUCUCUCAGCCAACAGCAACUCACUGAGACGGACAUUCCUGUCCUGGUGGACCGCUGCAUAGACUACAUCACACAAUGUGGCCUGACGUCCGAGGGCAUCUACCGUAAGAGUGGCGUGAACUCGCGCGUGGCGGCGCUGUGCGAGGCGUUCCGGCAGGACGCCAGGAGGGUGCGUCUCCGGGAGGGGGAGAACCAGGUGGACGACGUGGCCACCACGCUCAAACGCUUCUUCAGAGAGGCCGAGGAGGGCCUGUUCACCUCCCAGGACCACCAGGCGUGGCUCAGCACACCUGUCCUCCAGGAUGACAGUUUAAAGAUCUCUCAGUACCAGCUACUGCUCAACAGGCUGCCUCGGGUCAACAAGGCCACACUGCGAGCACUGGUCAACCACCUGUAUUGUGUGCAGCGGUUUGCAGAGCUGAAUCAGAUGAAUCUUCAUAACUUGGCCAUUGUGUUUGGGCCUACACUGUUCCAGACCGAUGGGAAAGACUAUACUGCCGGCCGUGUCAUAGAAGACCUCAUCCAGCACUACACACAGAUCUUUGAUGUUGACGAGCAGCAGCUAAAUAGGCAGCUGGAUGAGAUCACGGUCAUCAUCAAGGUUCGAGAGAAUCUCAACGCCAAGGUCCCUGCGUCUGGCUCUGGGGACUUCAUCUGCACGGUGUACCUGGAGGAGAAGAAGGAGACGGCCGAGCAGCACGUCAAGAUCCCUGGCUCCAUGACGGCGGCUGAGCUGACCUGUGAGAUCCUGGACAGACGGAAGAUCACGGUCAGAGAGAAGGACUACUGGAGCUGCUGGGAAGUCAGCGAGAAGGAGGAGACUGAACGCCCGCUGCACCAUCUGGAGAGAGUGUUGCCUAUCUUACAUUCUCUGGGCACAGACUCUCAUCUGCUGAUCAAGAAACAAGUUUCCAUGGAGGCUAUGCUCAUCUACCUGGCCAGUAAAGUGGAUGUGUCCAAACAUGGAAUGGUAAAGUUCCGGGAGGAGAGGAGCAUUCUGGGAUUGGGCCUAAGCUCCGGAAGUUUCCAUGACCGCUACUUUAUCCUCACUACUGGUUCCUUUAGGAUGUACAAGGAAGUACGGAGUAAUCGUCCAGAGAGGGACUGGAAUGUGAAGAAUCUGAAGGUGUACCUUGGCAUUAAGAAGAAACUGCGUCCACCCACCUGUUGGGGUUUGACAGUCGUCUACGAGGGGGACAAACUGGAGAAGUGGUAUCUCUGCUGUGACACCCAGUUGGAGAUGAGGGAGUGGUACGCCAGCUUCCUUAGUAUCCAGUUUGAGGGUAACGUAUGGCCUACUGAUGCGGUGCACCUGCGUGUGUCCCGGGCGUUGCCAUUGGAUACGCGUCACGGUAAUGUGUCGUUGAUUCCGUUGCGAGGCAGCGAAAAUGAAAUGCGGAACAGCGUAGCAGCUUUCAGCCAAGACCCGCUUGCUGUGAGUCGAUUUCUGCAAUCACCGGGUUUAAUCGAGUGCUACCGGCCAAUCAGAGAGCUCAAUCGAGGGCUCCAGGCCUAUCGGAAACCUCCUUGUUGACCCUGGGAUCCACUACCACUCUGCUCGCUCCUUGUGAGGCUGACCGGUAACCCCUAGGUCAACUUGGAACCUCUGACCUCCUGAUUCACUGUGAUUGGCUAGUCAGCUUCACCCAUGCACACACACACACACGGCUUGGCAGAUAUCUGUGUAGUUCCACAGCUGGGCUAGUUUAACAGGACAGUAUUGAUGACAUAGAAUCAAUAUGGUGGAAUGGUAUGAGAUAUUCCAUGGCUCUCUCUAUCUAUAGCUGGCCUUUGUAUAACCCUGGGAAGGUGCAGUGAGGGUUUGUGUGUGUGUGUUUGGUGGGUUGUGCUUUGGUGAGCUUGAGGUUCCAAUAUAGCUUCUAUAGUCAGCCGGUGCCCCAGGGUGUGUGUGUGGAUAUGUGCAUCGAGUUUCCGUGUGUGUGUUCUUUUUGUUUUUUAAUUUACUGUUUUGAUUCCGUGCGGUGCAUAUGCAUUAUUCUGUGCCAAUGUUAUCUCUGUGUGUUUGUCUGUGUGUUUGUUUAGAUGUGUGUCUGUCUGUGUGUGUGUGUGUCUGUGUGUGUGUGUGUGUGUCUCAGAGACAGAGACAGAGAGAGAGAAAUGAAUGAAUGCUGAUGUACAUGUCUGUCUAGCGUGCUUUCAUGAAUGCAAGCAGUCUGAACACGGAUUGUAUUUGACAUGCCUGUUAGCCUUCCCCCUCACACAUGGCUUGGUUCCUCAGCCCAUGUGUGUGUGUGUGUGUGUGUGCGUGUGCGUGCGCAUGUGUGUGUGUGUGGAUCUCAAUCUCUCUCUCUCCUCCCUCAGCUUUUUAGAGAUGUGCGAUGAUGGACCCGGAUGCAGGAGGCACACCAGCCACACAAUCACUUGAACAUUCCAGCAACAACAUUCCAGAGCCCUACCUGAAUGAUUCAAACACACACAGGCAUUCACAGACACACACACACACACACACCUGCGCCAGUAAACUGGACCCCCGCCCCACCCCCUUCGCAGGCCUUCCCCCUGUGUUCCACCUUCCCCCACGUCCGCCACACCCCACCCUUCCCCUCCCCAGAACUGCCGGACAGGAAGUGACCUCACAACUGCGCUGCAUUGGCGGGGAUACCUGAAGAAGGGUCCGAGAGACUGUAGUUCUCCGGAGACAAGGAGAGGAGGCCCAGCACAGGCUAGCAGUGGGACCAAGGGGGGAGAGCGUCCACCCAGCUCCAGCACUGUCUGAACGUGGACCCCCGUCACGUCCACAGACAGCUCAUGGAGUUACAGUUGCGAAGACGAUUAACUUUUUCUAGUUUCAAUAUUGACUGACAAUCUGGCUCUCUGUUCUUGUCUAGGUCCUCCUGCUUUCGUCUCCCCACUAGCUCCCUUCUCGUUCUGGAGGCCGUAUUCCUCCGUCGCUCUCCGCAUGCAUCCCCAUCUUCGUGUCUCUGCUUCCCUCUGUCAUCCUCCAGCUCUCUUCCCUCAGAUCCUCCCAUGACUCCCGACAUCCUUCCUCAAUUUUAACACGUACUUAUUUAUUUUUCCCGGAGAGCGAGGUUGGCUUUUUGGCCGGUGUUACAUUUUGCCGUAGGCCUAACAUGUAAAUACACACACGUUUUCAGUACACGUAUACACACAGUCCUCUAUGUUCCCAGUAUGUGCGUGUAAACCUUCCUUUGUUCCAAGACACGGCAAGAAAACGUGUUUCUCUCGUGUUUUUUCUUCUUCUCUUUGUCUGGAUUGGAUGUAUAUUUCUCCAGUGUUUACUUAAGUCUAAUAAAUAAAUCUGUGUCGGUCAGA
This is an RNA transcript of Hypomesus transpacificus, 7040 nucleotides long. It is a transcript of the gene named arf-GAP with Rho-GAP domain, ANK repeat and PH domain-containing protein 1-like, with no coding region annotated. Lineage: Eukaryota; Metazoa; Chordata; Actinopteri; Osmeriformes; Osmeridae. The record is from RefSeq and is a predicted model, not a curated record. The transcript has 33 exons.